This 589-nucleotide ribosomal RNA is filed under the name Eriococcus coriaceus. RNAcentral's name for it is "partial 18S small subunit ribosomal RNA". It matches the Rfam family "Eukaryotic small subunit ribosomal RNA", at positions 41 to 550 of the family's 1831-position model. Lineage: Eukaryota; Metazoa; Arthropoda; Insecta; Hemiptera; Eriococcidae. The record is from RNAcentral.
AGAUUAAGCCAUGCAUGUCUCAGUGCAAGCCGUCCAGUACGGUGAAACCGCGAAAGGCUCAUUAAAUCAGUUAUGGUUCCUUAGAUUGUACCCACGUUACUUGGAUAACUGUGGUAAUUCUAGAGCUAAUACAUGCCGACAGAGUUCCGACCAGCGUCGGGCGCGGUUCACGCCGUCGCUCGGCGUUCGGAAGGAACGCUCUUAUUAGAUCAAAACCGGCYAAGCGGUCGUUCGCGUUUCGCGACGUGYNCGACCGUAAGCGGCCCGYGCAAAGACUUGACGACUYUGAAUAAUUUCKAGCUGAUCGCACGGUYUAGUACCGGCGACGUAUCUUUCAAAUGUCUGCCUUAUCAACUGUCGACGGUAGGUUCGAUGCCUACCGUGGUGGUAACGGGUAACGGGGAAUCAGGGUUCGAUUCCGGAGAGGGAGCCUGAGAAACGGCUACCACAUCUAAGGAAGGYAGCAGGCGCGCAAAUUACCCACUYCCAGUUCGGGGAGGUAGUGACGAAAAAUAACGAUAYGGGACUCUUAUGAGGCCYYGUAAUCGGAAUGAGUACACUUUAAAACCUUGGUCACACGAGGAUCAAU